UAUUAUUUGGAAUCAUGAGGAACUUCUCAAGCAUAGUUGUCUUUCUCUUUUCCCUUUUCAUUGUUCUCAGUAAGUUCCAUUUUAAUUUACAUAAUCUUUUCAAUUAAAUAAAAACAUAUAGUGACCCUAUGUAGAACAAUUAGUUCAUCAUUUUUAGAACAAUAAAAAAGUAAAAUAUUUAUUAUAGUAUGUCUUGUAAAGUUUGCAGUAUUUUACUAAUUAAAGCAGAAUGACGAUUAGUUUUCAAAUUUAUAGGAUGUUAUUCUAUUCUUUUGUACAUGAUGGAAUGGUCUAACCGAAUUUUUGUUAUGAUGGAUCAUCCUACUAUUGUUUUGACUAUAGGUAAAAAUAAACGAUUAUUAUUAAAAAAAUGAAUAACCUUGAUUUGAUGUAAUCUAAUGAAGUGGUCACAUGAAUAUGUAAAAUUCACCUAUUAACAUUGUGGUCAUUGGUUACAAAUUUUAUUUCUCCUAGCGAAUUAAUUGUUUCUCCUUUCUUUCUUUGUCCAAACAAAUUAAGGCACUAAGCAGACAGGAAUGCAGGUUGAAGGAAAAGAAUGUCGAGUUCCGCUUCCAGGAGCUGUCAAACCUUGUGACCCAACAAAAUGCAACACACAAUGCUUUGAUAAGUACCAAAAUAAGCCUAAUCCUCCUGGUAUUACAGGAAC
RNAcentral lists this long non-coding RNA (667 nucleotides) under Capsicum annuum. Its description in RNAcentral is "long non-coding RNA (CANN_LNC007227)". The record is from RNAcentral. Lineage: Eukaryota; Viridiplantae; Streptophyta; Magnoliopsida; Solanales; Solanaceae.